GCCUCCGCCUUCUCCCUCUCGCCCAGAGCAGGGCGGCCGGCGCGCCCCCCCUCUUCUCCCCACCCGACGCUGGUGCCGGCCGCCCGAGCACCUCCCCGUCCGCCCGCGCCUCGAGCCGCCGCCGGUGCUCCUCCUGUCGCCCUCCCCGCUCACCUCCGGCGCAGCUCGUUGUAGUGAAGAGCUAUUAUUUGGCGGCGGCAAGGAGAAGGGCGCCGAGGAGGUGACGCCGGCCGGCGUCGUGCCUCCCUGCAUCGUCGCCUCCGACCUCACCAUGUAGCUCCUGUGACGAGUAAUGGGGAUGGAAAAUUAUCAACAAUGGGGUGUGCAUUCGCUGCUGUUACGGUGUUUUCUUUGACGCUGCCGCUCCUGGAGCACCAGCUCGAUUUUUUCUCAUACUGCUGUUCCCCGAGCACCAGCACAAGGCGAAAUUUUUGCAGGCCGUCUUGUUGAACACCCGCAGGUGAGCGCUCAGGCCUGGGUUUGUAUUGUUCUCGGCUUGAGUAUAUGGGACUCGAACUGUGAUGGAUAUCAUGUGAGGAAAGAAGGUUUAGUAUGCAAUUAUGGUGUACACCAGAGAAACAUGUGUGUUUUUCCCUAUGAAGACAUCUACUUCUUCAGAUAAUUGAUGUUUCUGUACUAACCAUCAUCAAAUAAGGUGAGAGUACUUUAGGGUUGAGUAAAUGUUUCAGUUGGAUGUUGAAUUACCCCAUCAAGAGAAGCUGAACAAAGAAGAGUGUUGUGGUGUUGGCAAAGUCAAAUUUCGCGGCGCCUGCUUCAAACCACACUGGCACCUCUACAGCCAUUUUUGGGAAAUCAAGCGUCCGCACUAUGGUUUCUAUAAAACUGAGAGGAUAUUCAUUUCACCGGCGCUGGCAAGGAGGUCAAGAAGGGAGCAACUUCCAUUGGUUCCAAGGAUGCCGGCGACCCCUGCCAUGGCAAACCGGCAGUGGACGAGCUCGGCCUGGACGUACCACUUCAAGGCCUCAGGCUGCUCCCCGAGCCCCAAGGGACCAAACCCGUAAUCGCCAGGCAGCCUGCAUCCAGAAGCGCCAAGCUAUCCAUCAGCCUAACAACGAACCAUCGCCGCCUGCAGAGAACACCGGCAGAGGUUGCCACAGUUGACUGACGUGCCGUCGAGGUACGCCGGUAGGUCCAGCCCAGACAGCCAUGUCGCGCGCUCCGCGGUGGCUCGGACGGCGAACCGGGCUCGUGACGACUGAACAUUGUGUCCAGGCAUGGUGGUCGUGCUCCUGCUGAAAGGUGUGGGUGGCCUGGAGGAGAGGGUGCAGACUCUUCCAUGGGUGUUAGCUGCUAACGCCAUGGCCGCCGCCGUCGGAUUUGGCUGGUUGAUCCCUUGCUCGCCUGACCGCAGCUGGCGAGGGUCCUUCUUGGCUGCAGCUGUUUUGGUUGGGGCGUGUGGGUGGUGCGUCGGACGGGUCAAAAAGCUGUGGAUAUGGAACUAGAGGCGUUCGCACUUCGUAGCUCCAGUGGCUGUCAGAGUCUGCAGCUUGUGUUCUUUUUUUGCUUUCCUGAGGGGAUGCAGCUUGUGUGCUGGCCGGAGUGUAUUGAACGGUUAUAAUGCAGCUACCGAACUAGGUAUGCCUAUUUGUGCUUAUGUGAUCUGCGGAAAUUUGCAUUCGUACUAUGAAUCGGCCAGCCUACCUACAACAUUCAGAUGUUGUAUCUGCUCGUUUGGAGAAUAGAGAUGUCUAUGGAACUUGGGAACAGUGUCUUGGGUUGGAGUGAACUGAUACUGCAAUAAAACGGCCUAUACAGCCUAUUAAGUAUGCAGUUGUCUUGCUGGGAGGUGAACAUAUCUAACUUUUGGAUGCCAAGUUUUACCUUUACCCAUGCUUGGGCUUAGAUAUGUCGUACCCAUGCUUCAGGUUCCCCUGAUUCAGGUUCAUUUUUGUGUACUGCUCCAUCCUAAGAAACCCGUCAAUUUCAUAUACAUUCUAACUGUAAUAUGUGGAAUAUCUCUACCAGACCUUGAUGUCAUUCUGGACAACGUAGGUAGAUCUUAUCUCCAAGGCAAUCUGGAUAGCUUAGCAGUUGAUGGUAGACUUUUCAUCGUUGGUUUCAUGUGAGGCACUGUAAUUAAAGUGAACCUGCAGGCGAUGCUUGCCCAAAGACCGACUGUACAAGCAUCUCGAACAAUGUAUCCAGAGAGAUGCUGCCACUGGUGAUACAUCUGUGCGAAGCCAGAUCCAGAAUGAGUCGACAGAGUUGGGAGUAGCGAUACAACAUCUGGAGGCUAUGCUUUUUGAGCUUGGACGGACAAUGAUGACGCUUAGAAUGGGGCCAUCUCCUGUAUGCAUUUUUCUACUAUGUCACUAUCACACAAGUGAUUCACAAGGUUUAAGUAUUCUGAUAGCUUUUUUAUUUUGUAGGCUAAUGCUUUUGUAAAUGCUAGGCAUGCUGUUUAUACAAACCCCACUGGACCAAGUCCAAUCAUGGUUCAGGCUACCUGUAUAGCUUUGCUUUCCUAUCAUGAACUGCUGUCAACUUUGUUUUGGGCUAUCAUGCUAGCAUGCACUGUAACAUGUAUCACUAUGUAUUAACAUGCUACCUAAGUAUCUAUUUCUUUAUACUUUAAGGAUCUUAUUAUCAGUCCUUAAACAAAUCUUACGUGCAUGAUUUGCAUGCUUGGUUUGUUGUCGCCCUUUGCACCAUCGGCGCAACGGGUGGUCAGCUGCUUUUUUAUGUGUGAGAAUGUCAGGAAUCUUUCUAUAUGUGCCCAGAUUUAUUUGGUGUGCCUGCUAUGUUUCACUUUCACUGCUCUUUGUAUAAAUUGAGAAAUUCUUGAUUCUUUUUAUGUUAUUUCUUUACAUGAAGGAUCCAGAUUAAAAUCUAAUGUGUUAUUCUUGCUGGCUUAGUUUAAACAAAUGCAUUUUAGAUCACCUACUUCUCAGUUCAUGCAUUUUGGAUCCAAAGCCUCCGUUAGAUUUUUGGAUGUGCUCUCUUAGGUAGGUUUUCUUUUCUCUUUCUUUCCUUCCUCUUGGGACUGUUAUUCUCUGUCUGUAUAUAUUUGCUUCGAUUGAAAUAAAGGACCAUGGGGCUUUUGCUCCAUGGUGGGUAGUGGAAAAAAAGUAACAUGUAUUUGGUUUAAACUGCUUGAAGUUAACAAGGACCAAGUAACAUACUAUGUGCUUGCUCUGUUUGGUCGUGGCAUAUGAAUCUGAUUAGAUCAUCGUAGUUGAAUAAUUAGAAACCUUGGGGAGGAAUAUGAUGUGUGUUUUUGUUUCAGUUACAGAGACUUGGUCUCGUGUUAUGCCUCAUAAGGUCGAGGCAUGUGUUACAGAGGCUAGGAAGAUUAUUUUGCUGUUGUUGAUUAGUUUUUUUUUGAUAAUGCAAAAACACCUAUGUACUAAUAACCUAUAUACUAAUGUACUAACAAUCGUUUCCUUCUUUUCCAUUGCAGUAAGUAGAAGUUAUAUUUUUUCCCUGACCAUUCCUUUCUUUUCCUAGGCCAGCGAUUUGCUUUCCGCUCAGAUUACGCUGUCUGCAGACUGCAGCCUCCUAUUUGUGACACCGUGGAACCUAAGGAUUUCCGGCGAUACGCAGUCAGUAGGAGGGGACGUUUUUAUCGAUGACGAGGUGCUUACGGUGACUUCAUAAUUUUCAAGAUGAUAUGUCGGCUCAGUCUUUCGGAGGUGUUCAUAGGGGUAGGGUGUGCGUGUGUGCGUUCAUAGGGAUGAGUAUAUGUAUGUGUAUAUGAGCGCUUGCGUCUGUACUGUGUUAAAAAAAACCUUUUGACCAUUUCCUUGUUUAAACCGAAGCAUCAAAAGUACAAUUUGUUUGUACCAUUGUAUACCACAUGAUGAACUCUAGAAAUAGAGUAUAAUAGAGUAUAAUGCUGAA
Molecule: long non-coding RNA, 3861 nt
Organism: Triticum dicoccoides
Lineage: Eukaryota; Viridiplantae; Streptophyta; Magnoliopsida; Poales; Poaceae
Exons: 8
Source: RefSeq, a predicted model, not a curated record